GGAGAAGAGAAGGGUCAGACAAGAUGGAGGAGAGCAGAGCAGAAGCAAGCUUCUUAGUUGACUCAAGUUGACAAUCAAGACCAGCCAUCCCAUUGGGGCACUGGAAUGUAUUACAACAGUGCCUCUAUAUUCCCAAGCAUCUUCCCACACCUUCAUGGAGGAACACACUGAGAUUUCUGACAAGCCACCGGAGUUCAAUCUGUCUGACAUGGUCGGAGGAACUCAGCUACCAACAUGGUCAUAUCAGAAAGGAGAGAUUUAACCAGAGGGAUGUAGCAAGGUGCUCUGUGUCCAGAGGUCCUUUCAUUGUCAUGAGUUUGUUAAAGCAUGAUAUAAGCCUACAGUGAUGGUCCAAGAUCUGCCAAUGGAUACCAGGAGCAUAUGUGUGGGAUGUUGAAGGAGAUGGCCACAAUGGCGUAGUGCAUUGCUAAGAGAAUCAAGACUAUGACACACAUUUCCUGCUGCUUCAUCUGCAAGAUUCGAUGCUAGGCAAUCAGACACAGCUGAAAAUGGACAACACUCCCUUGAUUCCCCGUGUGUAUAUGACUUGUACUCAUAAUGUGUUUAGUCAUCCCUGGCUCAUCAUUUAACAGUCAAAAGCCACAUCAUACAAGGUUCAUGCAUAUGUUUUCCACUACACCUUUUCUUAUGCUUAGUAAAAGCCAACUUAUAAGUGGAUUAAUGUC
Molecule: long non-coding RNA, 686 nt
Filed under: Mus musculus (house mouse)
Lineage: Eukaryota; Metazoa; Chordata; Mammalia; Rodentia; Muridae
Description: RIKEN cDNA 4930477N07 gene (4930477N07Rik)
Source: RNAcentral